GGAGGGAGACAGUGUGUCUGAGGCGGGAGGGGACUUCACUCCUGAAAAGUGUGUCCAGCAGGUGCUUCUCACAGAGACCAGCUCAAAGCCACCAAAAAUUGGGCAACUUGGGCGUCUGAAAAGACGAUUUUUGCAUUUUUGGCAAAAAAUUGGCUCCCGCAAUGACAGGCGCAAAGUGGAAGAGAGUGAACAACCCUCUGGGGCUGGUGAUGUUCAAUGCAAGUCUCCACAGCCAGUGAGAGACUGAGGGAUGGUGAGAGUCACCAGUAAAUAAAGCGGUCGGUGAGGGUCACCAGAAGGCACAGACGUUGGUGAGGGUCACCAAGUGAAACUGAGAGCUGGUAAGGGUCGCCAGAAGUCAAUGGAGCCGAUGAGGUAAACUGAAAGUGAAGCUGUGGUGAGGAUUUCUGAAUGAGACCAGUGCGAUGCAGUGUGGUGAUGCUCAUCAGAAAGCAAUGCGUGCUGUUGAGGAUCACUGGAGCUGCUGGAUGUGAGGUGCAAUCACAGAUUUGAUUAUGAAGACAAAGACAAGGCAGAUGCUGAUUCUGAAUCUGAAGCUGUCUGUAAUAAAGCUUGUCAUCUUCAGUCA
This is a non-coding RNA of Danio rerio (zebrafish), 589 nucleotides long. The record is from RefSeq and is a predicted model, not a curated record. NCBI's taxonomy places the organism in Eukaryota, Metazoa, Chordata, Actinopteri, Cypriniformes, Danionidae.